Molecule: ribosomal RNA, 468 nt
Filed under: uncultured bacterium
Lineage: Bacteria
Description: partial 16S ribosomal RNA
Rfam family: Bacterial small subunit ribosomal RNA
Source: RNAcentral
GACGAACGCUGGCGGCGUGCUUAACACAUGCAAGUCGAACGGAAAGGCCCUGCUUUUGUGGUGUGCUCGCGUGGCGAACGGGUGAGUAACACGUGCGUAACCUGCCCUUGACUUUGGGAUAACUUCAGGAAACUGGGGCUAAUACCGGAUAGGAGCUCCUGCUGCAUGGUGGGGGUUGGAAAGUUUCGGCGGUUGGGGAUGGACUCGCGGCUUAUCAGCUUGUUGGUGGGGUAGUGGCUUACCAAGGCUUUGACGGGUAGCCGGCCUGAGAGGGUGACCGGCCACAUUGGGACUGAGAUACGGCCCAGACUCCUACGGGAGGCAGCAGUGGGGAAUAUUGCACAAUGGGCGGAAGCCUGAUGCAGCAACGCCGCGUGCGGGAUGACGGCCUUCGGGUUGUAAACCGCUUUCGCCUGUGACGAAGCGUGAGUGACGGUAAUGGGUAAAGAAGCACCGGCUAACUACGUG